UGGAAAACAAGCAUGGUACUGUGAAAAAAAUCCUCCUCUCACCCUACAGAUACCUGUGCCGAGAGCUUGGAAGGCAUUUCUAUAGACUCAUUACGAGUGACUGUUAAAGUCCCCAUUCACUGAGAAGCAAAGCCACACCUAUCUCCUGUGCUUGUGGAUGAGGGUGUGACUCCAACUCCCUCUGCCCUGUUUGGUAGUGCUUCUUCCUAUCUCCAUCGAUUGUUCUCAACAGUAAAGACAUGAUGUGAUGCUGUGUAUAAGAGAAGAACUGGACGCAAAAGGAAACAAAGAGCUAUUGUGCUAACACUUCUAAUAGAGACCUAUGAAACAGUGGAAGAUUACGUUGAUGAGAAAGGAGAGCAAACAUGAAAAAAAAAAAGACAGUGCCUUGCCCUCCCCAGCAGCCCCUCUCUGUCAACGGGUCCUCAGGAAAGGUUGAAGCCUUUCAAGAUCCUCUCCCAUCACUGAUGGAAUCUUGUCUGAAUCCUAUGCAGGAAGCACAGAGGCUGUGAGUUUGUGAGUACGAAGACCAGACCACCAUAUCCAAGAGACAUUUCAUAGCAUUCUUCCAUGUCUUUCAUUUAGACUAAGUACUCAGCAAUCACAUAUUCUAGUGCACUGAUCACAAAAGUGUCACUACUUUAGCUGUUUUCAUUUGCAAAUGAAGCCAAGAGAUAGUACUUACCUAUAAGUUGUGUAGCAAAGGAUAUAGACAAAGGAAAAUAAAAAUAAAAAUUUGAACCAGUAUUGCAUGUGAUCUACGUUGAACUAUUUAGUCAAUUAAUUCACCCAAAUCUCUUUUGACCCCUGUAAUUAUACAAUGCUUUCUAAGUAUAAUGCAUAUAAUUAGAGGAAAACAGACCA
Molecule: long non-coding RNA, 864 nt
Organism: Mus caroli (Ryukyu mouse)
Lineage: Eukaryota; Metazoa; Chordata; Mammalia; Rodentia; Muridae
Source: RefSeq, a predicted model, not a curated record